This is a long non-coding RNA of Mauremys reevesii (Reeves's turtle), 515 nucleotides long. RefSeq lists it as uncharacterized. The transcript is spliced from 4 exons. Lineage: Eukaryota; Metazoa; Chordata; Testudines; Geoemydidae. The record is from RefSeq and is a predicted model, not a curated record.
CUGACUCCCACUCCAGUACUCUGUUCAUUAGACCACAAACUUGUAAAAUGAGUGGAAUCCCCCACUCUUUCAAUGUAAAACACUGAAUAGCUGGGCAGGGAAGCAAGAGUUAAUCAGGGCUCCUUCUUCACUGACUCCCUGCCCAGGAUGACUGCUGAGACUAUCUAAGAAACAAGGACUGAGAGGGGGGAGAAGAGCUGAGCCUGGACCCGAAAAGGUGUCUGGCCUGUGAAAGAAAUGCCUAAAACAACAUUUAGGGAAGUAGGCAUACGUUAAUGCAGAAAUGAGAGAAUCCAAAUCACAUGGUUUAUUCCCAAGAACAACAUGGACUCUCCCAAGUCGUUUGCUCCGGUUCUGAAACAUAUAAGACCAUUUUAAAAGUGAACACAUGACCACAUCCUAAAAAUGUGACACUAGCAAGCAAGCAACCACAGUGGCGGUCCCAGCAAAAGGCCUAGCUUGAAUAGACACAGAGAUUAAACUCCAGCUCCAACUUCAGCUCCAUAUGAUUGCUC